This 410-nucleotide long non-coding RNA is filed under the name Macaca mulatta (Rhesus monkey). RNAcentral describes it as "lncRNA (ENSMMUG00000059996.1)". Lineage: Eukaryota; Metazoa; Chordata; Mammalia; Primates; Cercopithecidae. The record is from RNAcentral.
AGAAUCUGUCUUCAAGAAGCUGAGAAAAGCAGAAACCUGGGAAUUAAUGGAUUCAGUGUUGUAAAUGAAAUCCUGACAGUUGUCAUGAAACCUUCUGCCAUGUCUCCAAUAUUUUAUUAGUAGGGAAAUGAUGAAAAUGAAUGGAUCAGACGGACAAAAGCAGUUGAGAGUAUGGCCUAAAGAAAAAAAUCCACUGAACAUCAUGCAAUUAGAAGUGCCAUUAGGCAAAGACUCAAUGGAUUGGCUGGAGACAUCUGGGAGCUUGAAAUGACUCUCUACAAGUUGAUCAAGAACGUAGCACCUGAAUGAACAGAGGAGCAGGAGAAAAGGUGGUGACGGUAAGCAAGGAGGUGAGUCAAUGCUUUAAGAAUGUCAGGCUAUUCAAUAUGAAAAUCAUGACUUUGAGGCAU